Molecule: ribosomal RNA, 393 nt
Filed under: Geastrum sp.
Lineage: Eukaryota; Fungi; Basidiomycota; Agaricomycetes; Geastrales; Geastraceae
Description: partial large subunit ribosomal RNA
Rfam family: Eukaryotic large subunit ribosomal RNA
Source: RNAcentral
GGAUUCCCCUAGUAACGGCGAGUGAAGAGGGAAGAGCUCAAAUUUGAAAUCUGGCGGCCUACGGUCGUCCGAGUUGUAAUCUAGAGAAGUGUUUUCCGUGCUGGACCGUGUACAAGUCCUUUGGAACAAGGCGUCAUAGAGGGUGAGAAUCCCGUCUACGACACGGACUACCAGUGCUAUGUGAUACACUCUCAACGAGUCGAGUUGUUUGGGAAUGCAGCUCAAAAUGGGUGGUAAAUUCCAUCUAAAGCUAAAUACAGGCGAAAGACCGAUAGCGAACAAGUACCGUGAGGGAAAGAUGAAAAGCACUUUGGAAAGAGAGUUAAACAGUACGUGAAAUUGUUGAAAGGGAAACGCUUGAAGUCAGUCGCGUCUUCAGAAAUUCAGCCAGGC